AAAGGAAUUGACGGGGACCCGCACAAGCAGUGGAGUAUGUGGUUUAAUUCGAAGCAACGCGAAGAACCUUACCAAGGCUUGACAUAGCACUGAAUACAGAGGAAACUUUGUAGGCCUUCGGGACAGUGUUACAGGUGGUGCAUGGUUGUCGUCAGCUCGUGUCGUGAGAUGUUGGGUUAAGUCCCGCAACGAGCGCAACCCUUGUCAUUAGUUGCCAGCAUUAAGUUGGGCACUCUAGUGAGACUGCCGGUGAGAAAUCGGAGGAAGGUGGGGACGACGUCAAAUCAUCAUGCCCCUUAUGUCUUGGGCUACACACGUACUACAAUGGCUAUUACAGAAGGCAGCAAAGGAGUAAUCCGGAGCGAAUCCCCAAAGAUAGUCCCAGUUCGGAUUGUGGGCUGCAACCCGCCCACAUGAAGUCGGAAUUGCUAGUAAUUGCAGGUCAGCAUACUGCAGUGAAUACGUUCCCGGGUCUUGUACACACCGCCCGU
This 491-nucleotide ribosomal RNA is filed under the name uncultured bacterium. Its description in RNAcentral is "bacterial SSU rRNA". It matches the Rfam family "Bacterial small subunit ribosomal RNA", at positions 903 to 1397 of the family's 1533-position model. The record is from RNAcentral.